ACUCAAAUGAAUAGACGGGGGCUCACACAAGCGGUGGAGCAUGUGGCUUAAUUCGAGGCUACGCGAAGAACCUUAUCCUGGGCUUGACAUGUGCGAAAGCGGCAGGAAGUAGGCUGCGGAAACGUUAGCCGAACGGUAUCCAACCCGGAACCUGCUACAGGUGCUGCAUGGCUGUCGUCAGCUCGUGUCGUGAGAUGUCGGGUUAAGUCCCAUAACGAGCGAAACCCCUGUCCCAUAGUUGCGACCAGGUCAAGCUGAGCACUCUAGGGAGACUGCCGGUGUCAAACCGGAGGAAGGUGGGGAUGACGUCAAGUCCUCAUGGCCUUUAUGCCCAGGGCUGCACACGUGCUACAAUGGCGUGCACAGAGGGACGCAAGACCGUAAGGUGGAGCAAAUCCCAAAAAACACGCCUCAGUUCAGAUUGAAGGCUGCAACUCGCCUUCAUGAAGCUGGAAUCGCUAGUAAUCGCGGGUCAGCAACACCGCGGUGAAUGUGUUCCUGAGCCUUGCACACACCGCCCGU
This 522-nucleotide ribosomal RNA is filed under the name uncultured bacterium. RNAcentral describes it as "partial 16S ribosomal RNA". It matches the Rfam family "Bacterial small subunit ribosomal RNA", at positions 899 to 1397 of the family's 1533-position model. The record is from RNAcentral.